Molecule: long non-coding RNA, 1498 nt
Organism: Mobula hypostoma (lesser devil ray)
Lineage: Eukaryota; Metazoa; Chordata; Chondrichthyes; Myliobatiformes; Myliobatidae
Exons: 4
Source: RefSeq, a predicted model, not a curated record
CCUGGUACAAAAACUCUAGAAGCUCAAGAGGCAGCUGAAAAGGGGAAGUUUGGAGAAAUUACCUUAACAAGCAAAACAAAAUUGUUUCCAUUAAUUAUCUACAGUUUCUUACUAGUCUUAUAAACAAUUUGCAGCACCGUAUCUUCACAGCAACAUCCUUGAAAGGUUCUCAAACUUUUAAACUUCAAGUGGAAUCCUGAGCCGUAUGUCACAUCAUGGCUGCGGUACCACAGAUCAGCAGAUGACACCAGGCCAAGAGUCGCUUCAGACUCCUGGACAUAUAUUACGCCUGACCCUUCGUGGAAAUUAUUGUGAAACUUCUCAUUGGUGGCAUUUGUAAACAGGAGAACAUCUGCAGAUGCUGGAAAUCCAAGCAACACAUACAAAAUGCUGGAGGAACUCAGCAGGCCAGGCAGCGUCUAUGGAAAAGAGUACAGUCGAUGUUUCGGUUUGAGACCCUUCAUACAGUUGAUGUUUCGGGCCGAGAUCCUUGUCAUUCAUCCAACAUUUUUAUCUACUCAUAAUGAAGCUUCUGUUCUCAAAGAAGUGUUGGCACCUGGAGAGUAAAAUACCCAUAACCUCUCCCCUGGAAGAGAAAAGCAAGCAAAUGAGAGAGAUAGAAAUCCUUUAUUACAUGCCUGCUGUUUCCUACUUUAUGGAGUACAUGGUUAUAACAACCGUGACUAAAGUUCACAAACAAUUUAUUGGUUGUACAGCACUUUUGCUUGCUGAAGAGGACAAAGAGAUUUGUGAUUAGAAUUUGUGAAUGUGUUAGGUUAUUGCACUGGGGAUUUAGUAUAAAAUCUCACAUGGAUUGCAAACUUUAAAUUUAGUCACUGAAAACAAUCCAGAACCAUGUGUUUGUCUUGCCGUUGUAACAAUAAAACCUAUGAAUUAUUUGAAAAAUAAUCUCAUACAAGAGGCCUCUUUAUCCAGCAUACUAUUCCUAGGAGUGAACAGUACCAGCUACCUGUCCAGAUCCCACGGCCACGGUCAAGAAAGCUGACCAACACCUUGACUUCCUCCAGAAGCUAAACCAAUUUAGUAUGUCCCCAUCGACCUUCAGCAAUUUUUAUGGAUGUACUGCAGAAAGUGUCUUAUCUGGCUUGGUAUGUCAACGGUUCUGCCUGUGACCACAAGAAACUGUAGAGUUGUGGACACCAGCCUUCUCUCUAUGAGCUCUGUCUAUACUUCUCACUGCAGCAGUAAAGCAGCCAGUAUAAUCAAAGAACCCACCCACCCCAGACAUUCUUUCCUCUCCCCUUUCCCAUUGGGCAGAAGAUACAAAAGACUGAAACCACGUAUCAUUAGGGUCAAGGACAGCUUCUAUCCCAAUGUUAUCAAAUUAUUGAAUGGUUCCCUAGUAUGGUUAGAUGGACUCUUAGCCUCACUAUCUACCUCACUAUGAUCUUUCACCGUAUUGUCCAGCAGCUCUGCACUUUCUCUGCAGCUGUUACACUUCAUUCUGCUUUCUGUUAGUGUUUUACCUUGUUCUUCC